This 11875-nucleotide long non-coding RNA is filed under the name Prunus persica (peach). Its description in RNAcentral is "long non-coding RNA (PPER_LNC007486)". Lineage: Eukaryota; Viridiplantae; Streptophyta; Magnoliopsida; Rosales; Rosaceae. The record is from RNAcentral.
CCAGAACCAAAUGGCAAUAACUCAAAACUCUGUCCCUUUACAUCAAUUGCCUUCCCUAAGAACCUCUCAGGCCUAAACUCAUCUGGUGCAUCCCACAGUGUGGGGUCUCUUCCCAUGCUCCAUAUGUUCACAAACACUAGAGUCCCUUUACGAACAUCAUAACCUGCCACGUUGCAAUCUUCAAGAGCUAGAUGUGGUGGUAGCAUUACAACCGCAGGGUGCUUCCUCAUGGUCUCUUUCAUAAUUGCAUCCAUAUAAGGAAGGUUUUCGAGGUCUUUCUCUUCUACCCAUCUCUCCUUCCCAAUCACUCUGUCAAGCUCUUCUGUCGCCUUUUCGAUCAGGUUUGGCUGUUUUAUGAGCUCAGACAUUGCCCAUUCCAAAACGGAAGCAGAGGUAUCAGUGCCUCCAGCUAUCACGUCCUGAUUUUAAUUUGCAUGAACAAAAUUAAUAAGCCACAUGAACAAUUUUGAGUAAAGCUUUGUGUUGUGUUUUUCUACAUAAGUUUUUAUAUAGAAAUGUUCUAUUGCCAGACUGCAUAACGUAUGGUCCAAAUUCACAGUAUGGCAAGAGAACAUUGUAGUAAUCUUAGUAAAUUUAAUAAGGGAAUGAUUUAGGAAGCAUAUACCUGAGUGAAUGCCUUGAUACUGUCAUAGGUGAGCUUAACUUCAAGAUCAUUAGGAUCAUCAACCAGCUGCAAUAGUAAAUCCACCAUGUCCUUUGCCACAAACUCCUUCACUCCUUCCUUCCUGGCCUUGUGUUCAUGGAGCACAAACUCAUAAAACCAGUCCAUUUUUUUCUUUACGACCUUCAUUCGCUUUACAUAACCUUGCAAAUCCAAAAAAUCAAGCCAUGGUAUCCAAUCCCCUAUAUUGAAUACCCCAUUAAGCAAGAACAACUCAUCUAACAUGUCCUGAAAUUCUUUGAGUGACAUUAUCGAACUCUCGAAGUCGGUCAAGCUAAAAUACUCCUUCCCCAACACAAUUCUGCUCAUAAUGCUAAGACUUAGGCGUGACAGAUGCUCUUUGAGCACAACUGCCUUCCCCGACAAGGCAUAGAGUCGCGAAGCAAAAGCACGAUUUUCCUCAACCCGAAUGUAUCGAAAAGACUCUAGUCUUUUGGGGCUAAACAGCUCCAUGAGAAAAAUUUUGCGGCCUUGACGCCAAUAUGGACCAUAAGGUGCCCAGGUGACAUUGAGGUAGUCAUAAGUGAGGUACUUGCCUGCAGCAGUUUGAGGCCUAGAUGCAAAGAUGUGAUCAUGUGUCUUUAAAAAUUGUUUUGUCAUUUCUGGAGAUGAGGCAACAACAACUGGGUAGGAGCCAAACUUAAGCUGCAUUAUUGGUCCAUAAGUUUGGGACAAUUUGUGAAGGGAUUGAUGAGGCAGAGGACCAAGGAGAUUGAGGUUGCCAAUUAUAGGCCAUGGUUUUGGACCUGGUGGAAGUUUUGGGCGUUUGGGAAAUAGAAUUUUGGAGAGAAGGGCCAGAGCGGCUAGCAAUGCAAGGGCUAAAACAACCAAAGAGGAAGAAGCCUCCAUUGUGUGAAAGUUGAGUAGUGCAGUGUUGACUGAUAUUGCUUGUAAUUUGUAGUUGGAGGAGCGAGGAGGACGCAUGUGGACUAUGAUAUUUAUAAACUUUUUUUGUUUGCUUUAUAUUAUCCUCCAAGACAGACGAGGUGGGGGCAAAGGAGAGCUCCAAUGAGAAUUUAAGAAUUGGCUACAUAUAUCGAGUAUAGCCGCGCGGCCAUACUCUUUAAAUAUAUUUUUUUUUGUUUAAGUCGUACAGCCGUGCGGCUAUACGCUUUAAAUAUAUUUUUUAUUUAAGGAGUACAGCCGCGCGGCCCUACGCUUUAAAUAUAUAUUUUUUAUUUAACUCAAAUAAAACAUUCAAAGCAGGAAGGAAAAUAAACCAGAAACAAAUAUAUUAGCAAAAUUCAAAUAGCAACAUUUAUCUGCUUUUAGAUGCCUUUUUAUCUAAUUACAGGCCUUGCUACCCUUCAUCAGAGAGCUCGAGCAGUUUACCUCCUCAGAGCAAAUACAUUUGGCGUGCACUUUCUAAUCAUGCACACUACAAUAAAGCAUUAUUUUUGCUCAACUUAAUUCGUUAUUCGCACACACUAAAAUUCUAUCAAGUUUUAUUUUUUGUUUUGUUUUUGGUUACACCAAGACACUGUUGAAAGCUGUUCAGAUGCUCAUCUUAGCUACGAUGUUGAUGAGUAGCUCAACUAGUUCUUUUAUUGUCUAUCAAAGAAAUGUUUUAUUUUGUACUCUUCUCCAAAGAAAUGUUUUAUUUAGUAUCGUCAUACUUAGAAAAUAUUUUCAGAUAAAAUUCCACAAACAUAAUUUUAUUUUUCUUUUCUUAUUAGCAUUUAAGGUUUAAUUUUGUUUAAUCCUGGCCCUUAACCUACUAUUAAACAAAUAAACAGCUAGCCCAAGGCCCAAAAGGCUUGAUUAUCCAAUAUUUUUGGUCCAAAGAUUAUCUAAAUAUUAUUGUACACAACUUAAUAUUAGUUAAAAUUACAUAACUUAAGCCAUGGAAAACCCAUUUAUAACGAGAUUAAUGUGUGCAUAAAAUAUACACACCAGAACCCCAAAGUAGAAAUGGAUGGUGAAGUGUCAGCGCGUAAGAGGAACACGAAUGCCUGCAAAGAUUUUGGGAGGAUCUAAGAGUAGGAAUUUUUCAAAACUGAUAUUGAUCUCCACUAAUUUAUCCCAAGUGAUUCCACUGUAGACACUAAUUCAACAACAUAAUGAUAUUAUUAAGAUUGGAAAAAAUGAUUAAGAAAUAUCAAACCACUACAACUAAAGAAAUAAAGAGAAAUACCUGGCUACUACUACAACCACUCAUGUAUUGCUGCAACUUUCUUAAAUUCUUCAAGAAUGAUUUUUCUUUUGUGUGGUUAAUUUUGUCUUGACAUAAUUUUUUAUAUUUUAUAACUUGGUGAUUUUAUUUUCUGAACAUUUUAACCUAAACAAAUUAAAUUCCACAAACAUAAUUUUAUUUUUCUUUUCUUGUUAGCAUUGAAGGUUUAAUUUUGUUUAAUCCUGGCCCUUAACCUACUACUAGCCUUUCUGCAUGCUUAUGCACCUGCUGGAGGUUUUUUUUUAAAAUUAAAUUUAUUUUAGAAUUUAAAAAAAUAAUGGGUAGUUGUGUUCCAUAAAAAUAGGAUCUAUUAUCUGAUUUUUUUUAAAAAAAAUUUAAUAUAAAAAAGUGUGAAUUUACCAUAUUAUCCUUAUUUAAUUAAUUAUUUUAAUUUUUAAUGUUUGCAUUAAUCAAUGACAUUUUUUGAUAUUUUGAAUAUUUCACUAUUCUCUACUCUUUACUUUAUAUUAUAUAUAUAUAUAUAACAAAUAAAUUAAUGUGUGCAUAAAAUACAUAUACCAUAACCCAAAAGUAGAAAUGGAUGGUGAAGUGUCAGCACAUAAGAGGAACACGAAUGCCUGCAAAGCUUUUGGGAGGAUCUAAGAGUAGGGAUUUUUCAAAACUGAUAUUGAUCUCCACUAAUUUAACCCAAGUGAUUCCACUGUAGAUACUAAUUAAACAACAUAAUGAUAUUAUUAGUGAUUCCACUGUAGGAAUUUUCCAAUUGACGACAUUUUUUGGAUUUUGAUUAGAUAUUUAACUAUUUAAGUAUGUGUUUUAUCUAUAUGUACUUUCAUUUUGGGGGACAAGGUUUAUUAUGUCUCCGGUGUUUUUUUGUUUUUUUGUCUUUAAUAAAAUUCAAUGGUACUGUUGAGUUUUCAGUAGAUUUAUACGUAAGGAAAAUUUAGCCCAUGUCAUUUUCAAAUCCUGGAUUCGUCCCUGGUGCUACCGAGUCUUGAGUCCAAAGUCAAGGGGUGGAAUAAUGGGAUUAUGAACCUUAUUGAUAGGAUAAGUUAUCCUAAAAAAAUGCACAAAAUAGAAUUAUGGUGGAAUUAUAUUUUAUCCAAUCCUACUACUUAUAAUACGCACGAAACGAGGCCAAAGUCCAGCAAAGGUUUUGGGGAUAUCCUUUCAUUGAUUAAUGACGAUGACUUAACUCAAGUAAUUCCUGUCUCACGAAAUCAAACAAAAAAGGGAUUAAUAAAUAUCAUAGCGCUCAUAUCUACUUCAACUAUAAAAUUAAAAUUACCUGAGAAUGUGAUAAGGUCUUGUUUGGGUAACAUGUUACAUGAAUUCAAUCAGGGACUGAGAUCUAAAUAAAUCUAAGGAAAAGCAAAUGUAACAUAUUGGUAUAGAGGUUGCAUUACUUUUGCUUGUGUGUUUCCUAAACUUCAAUAACAUCAAAUCAUUUGAUUCAGCCAACUUGCAUAAAUUGGCCCUAGCAUUCUGUCUAGUCCUUGUGUAGGGCUCCAUAAAUUACCCCUUCAUGCCAAUCUUGCAUAUUUUCUGGUCAUUCACGAUUAAAUCCACAUGGCUGGAGCCAUGGAGACUUGACAGUCACAAUACGAUGCCUGAACAAUUAUGAAAAUGGACAAGGCAUGUGGGCUUAUGAUAUUCCCAACAUUUUUUCUGAUUGAUUUGAGUUAUUGAAGAGAUCAUCAUCAGUAUUUUAAAAAAAAAAUUAUAUAUUAUCCUUCCAAAACCUUUAUGUGCUGUGUGGUCCCUACAUCACCAUCCCUUUGUGUUUUAUUCACAUAAUAAUCUCGUGCAAAAUUUGAUCCAAAAAUAAAUAAAUAAAGGGUUCAUGUAAACAAACAAAGAGGAAGAUGAAUGCCUGCAAAGAUUUUGGGAGGAUCUAAGAGUAGGGAUUUUUCAAAACUGAUGUUGAUCUCCACUAAUUUAACCCAAGUGAUUCCACUGUAGACACUAAUUAAACAACAUAAUGAUAUUAUUAAGAUUGGAAAAAAUGAUUAAGAAAUAUCAAACCACUUACUUGGACUAUAAAUUACCUGCAGGUCAGUCAACUUUUCAUCACUACAGCCACAAAUCACAUAUUAAUGGAGGAUUUCUCUUGGGCUGUUUUAACCCUGGCAUGCCUGGCUGCUCUAGCCCUCGUCUCAAAAAAUUUCUUCCCCCAACUCCACAAACUGAAAUAUCCACCAGGUCCUAAACCAUGGCCUAUAAUUGGCAACCUCAACCUCAUUGGUCCUCUGCCUCAUCAAUCCUUUCACAAGUUGUCCCAAACUUAUGGACCAAUAAUGCAGCUCAAUUUUGGCUCCUUCCCAGUUGUAAUUGCCUCAUCUCCAGAAAUGGCAAAACUGUUUUUAAAGAUACAUGAUCACGUAUUUGCCUCUAGACCCCAAACUGCAGCAGGCAAGUACCUCACUUAUGACCACCUCAAUGUCACUUGGGCACCUUAUGGUCCAUAUUGGCGUCAAGGCCGGAAAAUCUUCCUCUCCGAGCUAUUUAGCUCAAGAAGACUGGAGUCUUUCGAGUACAUUCGGGUUGAGGAAAGUCACGCUUUUGUGUCGCGACUCUAUGCCUUGUCAGGAAAGCAAAUCAUGCUUAAAGAGCAUCUGUCACGCCUAACUCUUAGUAUUAUGAGCAGAAUUGUGUUUGGUAAGGAGUAUUUUGGCGUGUCCAAAUUUGAGAGUUCGGUAAUGUCACUCAAAGAAUUCCAGGACACAUUGGAUGAGUUGUUCUUGCUUAGCGGGGUAUUCAACAUAGGGGAUUGGAUACCAUGGCUUAAUUUUUUAGACUUACAAGGGUAUGUAAAGCGAAUGAAGGCCUUAACGAAAAAAUUGGACCGGUUUUAUGAGUUUGUGCUCGAUGAACACAAGACAAAGAAGGAAGGAGUGGAGGAAUUUGUGUCAGAAGACAUGGUGGAUUUACUGUUGCGGCUGGUUGAUGACCCUAAUGAUCUUGAAGUUAAGCUCACUUACGACAGUGUCAAGGCAAUCACUCAGGUAGCUUCUUAAAUUAUUUCUUAUUUAAUUUCCGAACAUUAGGGUAAUGCUCUUUGGGCAAACAUAAGCAUUAUAACAUUUGCACCCUUAGAUAUAUGAGAACUUCUGUAAAAAGACACAACUUAAUGAUAUAAACAUAAAUGAUUCACUUUGUUCAUUCAAAUUAAAACCAGGACUCAGUAGCAGGAGGCACUGAUACUUCUGCAACCACUUUGGAGUGGGCAAUGUCUGAACUCAUAAAACAACCAAACCUCAUCAAAAAAGCAACACAGGAGCUUGACAGAGUGAUUGGGAGAGAGAGAUGGGUAGAAGAGAAAGACCUCGAAAACCUUCCUUAUAUAGAUGCAAUUAUGAAAGAGACCAUGAGGAAGCACCCUGUAGUGGCAAUGCUACCACCACAUCUAGCUCUUGAAGAUUGCAAUGUGGCAGGCUAUGAUAUUUGCAAAGGAACUUUAGUGUUUGUGAACACAUGGAGCAUGGGGAGAGACCCCACGCUGUGGGAUGCACCAGAUGAGUUUAGGCCUGAGAGGUUCAUAGGGAAGGCAAUUGAUGUGAAGGGACAGAGUUUUGAGUUCUUGCCAUUUGGCUCAGGAAGGAGGAUGUGCCCUGGUUAUAGUCUUGGACUGAAAGUGAUAAGGUCUUGCUUGGCCAACAUGUUACAUGGGUUCAAUUGGAAAUUGUCUGAGAAUGUGAAAAAAGAAGAUUUGAGCAUGGAGGAAGUUUAUGGAUUGUUAACACCUCGGAAGUUCCCACUUGUUGCCGUAGUUGAACCUCGGCUACCAAUCUAUCUUUACUAGUGAUAUUGAAUCUGAGUGUCCGGAUAUGUAUUAUGAACCUUCUCUAUAAAAAUAAAACUGUGUAUGAACGUUUGUGAUGGUAACUUCCACUGCUUUGUUGAUUACACUGUCUCUGCACUCUGCAUUAUGCCUCGUCUCCUAGAAUGAGUUAGAUUAAUCUCAUCUGGGAAUAUGAACUAUAUGUUCCAUGUUACAUUUGUUUACGAAGCUCAAAUCUUAAAGCUUACGAAGCUCACAAGUAAUGCAACCUCUGUUCCAUGUUACAUUUGUUUUUCCCUUAAAUUUCUUUAUAUCUCAGUCCCUUAUUGAUAAAAAAGAAUUACAAUCUUAUUGAGAAGGCCUAGUUCUAUUCUUUUUGUUAAAACUAAGCCUCCCUACUUGAUGGAACAAAAAAGAAACUUAAAGCUGGCACAUUAUUAAGUUCAAAUAUAAUUAGUAAAGACGAAUUGGCAGCCGAGGUUCUGUGACUACAACAAGUGGGAACUUCCGAUGUGUGAGCAAUCCAUAAGAUUCCUCCAUGCCCAAAUCUUCUGUUUUCACAUGUCCAGACAGUUUCCAGGUGAACCCAUGUAACAUGUUAGCCAAACAAGACCUUACCAUUUUCAGUGCAUGACCAUAACCAGGGCACAUCCUCCUUCCUGAACCAAAUGGAAGCAGUUCAAAACUCUGUCCCUUCACAUCAAUUGCAUUAUUCCCUAAGAACCUCUCAGGCCUAAACUCAUCUGGUGCAUCCCACAGCAGCGUGGGAUCUCUCCCCAUGCUCCAUAUGUUCACAAGCACUAGAGUUCCUUUACAAACAUCAUAACCUGCCACAUUGCAAUCCUCAAGAGCUAAAUGUGGUAGCAAUACAAUUACAGGGUGCUUCCUCAUUGCCUCUUUCAUAAUAGCAUCCAUAUAAGGAAGGUUUUCGAGGUCUUCCUCUUCUACCCAUCUCUCUCUUCCAAUCACUCUAUCAAGCUCUUCGGUGGCCUUUUUGAUGAGGUUUGGUUGUUUUAUGAGUUCAGACAUUGCCCAUUCCAAAGUGGUAGCAGAGGUAUCAGAGCCUCCAAUUACCAAGUCCUGAGUGAAUGCCUUGACAGUGUCAUAGGUGAGCUUAACUUCAAGAUCGAUCGUUAGGAUCAUCAACUAGCUGCAAUAGUAAAUCCACCAUGUCCUUUGCCACAAACUCCUCCACUCCUUCCUUCCUGGCCUUGUGUUCAUUGAGCACGAACUCAUAAAACCGGUCCAACUUUUUCUGUAAGGCCUUCAUUCGCUUUACAUAACCUUGCAAGUCAAAAACAUCUAGCCACGGUAUCCAAUCCCCUAUAUUGGCUACCCCAGCAAGCAAGUACAACUCAUCUGUCAUGUCCUGAGAUUCUUUGAGUGAUAUUAUGGAACUCUUGGAUGUGGUCAAGCUAAAAUGGUCCUUACCCAACACAAUUCUGCACAGAACGCUAAGAGUUAGGCUUGACAGAUGCUGUUUGAGCACAACUGCCUUCCCUGACAUGGCAUAGAGUCGCGAAAUAAAAGCGCGAUUUUCCUCAACCCGGAUGUAUCGAAAGGACUCUAGACUUUUUGGGCUAAAGAGCUCAGAGAUGAAAAUUUUGCGGCCUUGACGCCAAUAUGGACCAUAAGGUGCAUGAGUGACACUGAGGUAGCCAUAAUUGAGGUACUUGCCUGCUGCAGUUUGAGGCCUAGAGGCAAAGAUGCGAUCAUGCGUCUUUAAAAAUUGCUUUGCCAUUUCUGGAGAUGAGGCAACUACAACUGGGCAGGAGCCAAGCUUAACCUGCAUUAUUGGUCCAUAAGUUUGGGACAACUUGUGAGCGGAUUGAUGAGGCAGAGGACCAACGAGGUUGAGGUUGCCAAUUAUAGGCCAUGGUUUGGGACCUGGUGGAAGUUUUAGCUUCUUGGGUAGGGGAAAGAGAAUUUUGGAGAGAAGGGCCAGAGCAACAAGCAGUGCAAGGGUUGAAAAACUUAAAACAGCCAAAGAAAAAGAAGCCGCCUCCUCCAUUGACAUUGUCGUGUACGAAGGUUGAGGAUAUUGCAGGUAAUUUAUAGUUGAAGAAGUAGCUAGGUAUGUCGUCGGGUCGGCUAUGAUAUUUCUGUCAUUACACAAAGUGUGAAAAGUAGGCAAGUUAAUUAGUACCUAUGUACAGAUGCCCCACGUUGCAAUUAUUCAUAGAAGAAGCCUCCAUUGUGUAAAGGUUGAGAAGUGCAGCCUUCACUGAUAUUUGCAGGUAAUUUAUAGUUCAAGUAGGUAUGUGGGCUAUGAUAUUUCUUAUAAAUUUAAAUUUGAUUUAGUGAUACAGGAAUGACUUAAGUUAGUGAAGGUCAUCAUCAAUCACCAUUCAUUUGUGUUUUAUGCAAACAUUAAUCUCGUUUCAGUUCUGAGAGUAGGCAUAGAAAUGCAGCAUUGUCUAGACAUCACACUUAAAGUUACUCCGACAGAUGCCCCACACCACACAUGCUGCCAUUAUGGUCUCUGGCCCUUGAAUUCAUGGUGGGAUGGUUGGUUGCUUUGCUUGAUAUAUUUUCAUUUGGGGAAUGAAGAAGAGAGCAUGAAUAUCAAUUAUUUUUAGACCUUACCUUAUAACAAGUCGACAGCAGUGAUUUUUGAUGCAUUUUGAUGGGUUUUUGUUCCACCUGAAUGUCUGUCUGGCUCUCCAACAACAGAGAGGAUCAAGGUUGUUUCAUGUUGCAAAUUUGCCCUAGAUGUGAAUGCUACAUGAUAGGAUUUUUAGUACCUACGCAAAUAUGGUUAAAAUCAUAUGAAAUAUUUGCAAGAAUACGAGGAUAUUGUAGUAUAGAUGCUCAUGCAAAGGUCGUUUUCCUCAAGGACUAUUUAACAAUUUAUGUAAAAACAAACUCUAAUUAACUACUUGAAAUUAAAGGUUGAGAAGGAUGAUUCUGAAAUCGUUUAAUACUAAAAACGAAUGUUGAUUAAAAACAAAUACUACCAAGAAAAGAGUUUUAAAAACUAAUUUAUAAAAGCACUAGGGUUUCACCAUUACCUAGCAAUCCUAUGAAUUUUUACCAAUUACUUAUGAUCUACACAUGCCACUUUGAAGGUUAGGUUUUCUUAAUUUAUACUCUACUUGGAACCUCCAACAUAGAAUGUAUAUCCAACAUGCAACCUGUCCAGACGUUCGGAUCAAAUUUGAACAUGAAAGACUCAUUAUGCUUUAUGAAAACCCUUUUCGAAAAACCAUGCAAUCCUUAAGACAUAAUGUUCAUCUUAAGUGAAAUUACAAUUAUUAAUCACAAGAAGCCAGCAUCAAUUUUAAGGAACCUUCCAACCAAAAUUGCAUCGAGUUACUUUUCUAAAGAUCCUAAUAGUGAUCAGGCAUUAAGACAAUUAGAAAGUUUAAACUAGUGAUUAACAAUUCAAAGUAUGCAUGCCAUCAAUCAUAAGCAAUUAAAUAAAAAUUACAUAUUCAUGCUAAGGUUCAAGGCUUCGCCCUGGCUAAAGAGAAUUAGUUAUGCAUAUUCAUAAUUGAAAUUCAAGCAAAUAUCAUUCGAAUGAAUAAGAAUAAAAACACCUUGACGUUGAAGAUCUUCAAGAACCCUCACAAUUAUUCUCUGUCUCCCAAAGUUACGUAAAAGAAAAGUGUCCCAAAACUAGAGCGGACUAAAACCUUAAAUAUUUCCCCUAAAAACCAGCCGCACAAUCCCUGCGAAAACCAGUCUCUUAUUCUCGCUAGGAAUCUAACUAAAUAAUAAAAUAGAAUAGAAUAUAAGACGUCCUAAUUAAGUAGGGAUAAACUGCACAGAAACUGUCUAGCCACGCUUUAGCCACAAAUCUCCUCCAAAUCCAGCCCAAGAUAGCUUGUUUAAAAGAUAAAAACGUUCUGAACAUAUCUCCAGAAGGCCCCGAACCCAUCCAAGAUCAUCUUAGGCUCCAAAAACGUGAUUCAAGCCCAAAACGUCACUAUUUCAGCACUGCACAUCGCUCCUUUAUUUAUUCGCCAGGAAAUCACCGCUUGGUGGACGAAUCUGAUAUUUUGAUACAAUCAAGCUAAGUGACUCACGAACGUCCUCCAACUGGAAUUACUCCAAAAUUCGUUCAUUUGAUUAUGUUUUGCUCCAGAGGAAGUCGACAGUCCUAUAGUGGAAAUAUAAUUCAAAGUAUCAAAAUUCUUUCAAAAUAUUAAUCAAAAUAUACUAAAAAUAGGGUUAAAUAUAUAAUAUAAAAUCUACUCAUCACUGCAUAUUUUCAGAUGAUUCAUGAUUAACGCCACAUAGCCGAAGCCAUGGAGACUUAACAGUGAGUGGAGCAAUGAGCACAAAAGAAUGGUUGAACAAAUGAAAUAAACCACAUCACAUUAUGGAGCUCCACAGGAUGAUUGGCUAGAUGGGUGCGACCGUACGUGGAAGAGAUCAUGGUACUUGUCACAUGUGCCACACUUACAUCCCAAUUCAGAUUUCAGUCCCUCGUUGAUAAAAACGAAUUACAACUUAUUGAGUAGAAGUUAUUUUUUUGCGAAAGCUAAGCCUCCCUACUUGAUCAAAAUAUAUAUUGGCAGACUACAUAGAUGGAACUAAAAAGAAAUUUAAAGCUGGCACGAUUCACAUAUAGUUAUUUUAUUUUAUUUUUUCUAUUGCUGAUACAGGCAAUAUGUUGAUGGCAGGGGAUUCGAACAUAGGACCUAUUCACAUAUAGUUAAUAAAGAUGGAUUGGCAGCCGAGGUUCUGUGACCACAACAAGUGGGAACUUCCGAGGUGUGACCAAUCCAUAAACCUCCUCCAUGCCCAAAUCUUCAACUUUCACAUUUUCUGGCAGUUUCCAGUUAAACCCAUGUAACAUGUUAGCCAAACAAGACCCUAUCAUUUUCAGUCCAAGACUAUAACCAGGGCACAUCCUCCUUCCAGAACCAAAUGGCAAUAACUCAAAACUCUGUCCCUUUACAUCAAUUGCCUUCCCUAAGAACCUCUCAGGCCUAAACUCAUCUGGUGCAUCCCAGAGUGUGGGGUCUCUUCCCAUGCUCCAUAGGUUCACAAACACUAGAGUCCCUUUACGAACAUCAUAACCUGCCACAUUGCAAUCUUCAAGAGCUAGAUGUGGUGGUAGCAUUACAACCGCAGGGUGCUUCCUCAUGGUCUCUUUCAUAAUUGCAUCCAUAUAAGGAAGGUUUUCGAGGUCUUUCUCUUCUACCCAUCUCUCCUUCCCAAUCACUCUGUCAAGCUCUUCUGUCGCCUUUUCGAUCAGGUUUGGCUGUUUUAUGAGCUCAGACAUUGCCCAUUCCAAAACGGAAGCAGAGGUAUCAGUGCCUCCAGCUAU